GAAAAUAUAAAAUAACAGACUUUGAACUUAAGAUCCCAGCUACAAACCAUCCAGUACUUUUCUAUUUGUGCUAAGGACAAUGUUUCUUCUUUCACUACUAUUACCAAUAUAUGGAUACUCAUGAGGAGCCAUUAAUUGGGAGUUAUUUAACUGCACUAAUAUGAUCGUCGAUUUGGAGGCUCUAUCAUCGAAAAUAAAUGGGUGGCAACGAAGCUUGUUUGCUAUCGAUAGUAUUCUAGCUCAACUCCUUAUAAAAGUAUAAUAUAUGUAGCCUUAUUUUAGAAAACAUUAAAUUUUGAUAUUCAUGUUCGCACGCUAUCGAAUCUAGCGUCCCAAUUCCUGGAUACUAUAUAUAGUAAAUAAAUUUUUAUUUAUUCUA
RNAcentral lists this long non-coding RNA (379 nucleotides) under Ananas comosus (pineapple). RNAcentral describes it as "long non-coding RNA (ACOM_LNC035491)". Lineage: Eukaryota; Viridiplantae; Streptophyta; Magnoliopsida; Poales; Bromeliaceae. The record is from RNAcentral.